UGGGGAAUUUUGGACAAUGGGGGAAACCCUGAUCCAGCCAUCCCGCGUGUGCGAUGAAGGCCUUCGGGUUGUAAAGCACUUUUGGCAGGAAAGAAACGUCGCGGGUUAAUACCCCCGCGAAACUGACGGUACCUGCAGAAUAAGCACCGGCUAACUACGUGCCAGCAGCCGCGGUAAUACGUAGGGUGCAAGCGUUAAUCGGAAUUACUGGGCGUAAAGCGUGCGCAGGCGGUUCGGAAAGAAAGAUGUGAAAUCCCAGAGCUUAACUUUGGAACUGCAUUUUUAACUACCGGGCUAGAGUGUGUCAGAGGGAGGUGGAAUUCCGCGUGUAGCAGUGAAAUGCGUAGAUAUGCGGAGGAACACCGAUGGCGAAGGCAGCCUCCUGGGAUAACACUGACGCUCAUGCACGAAAGCGUGGGGAGCAAACAGGAUUAGAUACCCUGGUAGUCCACGCCCUAAACGAUGUCAACUAGCUGUUGGGGCCUUCGGGCCUUGGUAGCGCAGCUAACGCGUGAAGUUGACCGCCUGGGGAGUACGGUCGCAAGAUUAAAACUC
RNAcentral lists this ribosomal RNA (555 nucleotides) under uncultured bacterium. RNAcentral describes it as "partial 16S ribosomal RNA". It matches the Rfam family "Bacterial small subunit ribosomal RNA", at positions 355 to 902 of the family's 1533-position model. The record is from RNAcentral.